AACCUUCGAAGGCUAAAAAUAAAACUAAGUCUGGAUACUUAACCAAAAUAGUCUAAAAUAUCGACCUUUAACGGAUGUGAAGGUUGUGAAAUAAGAUUACCAACCUUCGAAGGCUAAAAAUAAAACUAAGUCUGGAUACUUAACCAAAAUAGUCUAAGUCUGGGACCCUUUUACAAACAUUAGUGGACUGAAUUAAGCUUAGAGUUUUACGGGGUCUUACAAU
This 223-nucleotide long non-coding RNA is filed under the name Capsicum annuum. RNAcentral's name for it is "long non-coding RNA (CANN_LNC002434)". The record is from RNAcentral. Lineage: Eukaryota; Viridiplantae; Streptophyta; Magnoliopsida; Solanales; Solanaceae.